RNAcentral lists this ribosomal RNA (492 nucleotides) under uncultured bacterium. Its description in RNAcentral is "partial 16S ribosomal RNA". It matches the Rfam family "Bacterial small subunit ribosomal RNA", at positions 29 to 507 of the family's 1533-position model. The record is from RNAcentral.
AGUGAACGCUGGCGGUAGGCCUAACACAUGCAAGUCGAACGGCAGCACAGUAAGAGCUUGCUCUUACGGGUGGCGAGUGGCGGACGGGUGAGGCAUACAUCGGAAUCUACUUUUUCGUGGGGGAUAACGUAGGGAAACUUACGCUAAUACCGCAUACGACCUACGGGUGAAAGCAGGGGAUCUUCGGACCUUGCGCGAUUGAAUGAGCCGAUGUCGGAUUAGCUAGUUGGCGGGGUAAAGGCCCACCAAGGCGACGAUCCGUAGCUGGUCUGAGAGGAUGAUCAGCCACACUGGAACUGAGACACGGUCCGGACUCCUACGGGAGGCAGCAGUGGGGAAUAUUGGACAAUGGGCGCAAGCCUGAUCCAGCCAUACCGCGUGGGUGAAGAAGGCCUUCGGGUUGUAAAGCCCUUUUGUUGGGAAAGAAAAGCAGCAGGUUAAUACCCCGCUGUUCUGACGGUACCCAAAGAAUAAGCACCGGCUAACUUCGUG